RNAcentral lists this ribosomal RNA (481 nucleotides) under Rothia mucilaginosa. Its description in RNAcentral is "bacterial SSU rRNA". It matches the Rfam family "Bacterial small subunit ribosomal RNA", at positions 1050 to 1533 of the family's 1533-position model. The record is from RNAcentral. Lineage: Bacteria; Bacillati; Actinomycetota; Actinomycetes; Micrococcales; Micrococcaceae.
UGUCGUCAGCUCGUGCCGUGAGGUGUCGGCUUAAGUGCCAUAACGAGCGCAACCCCUCUCUUCAGUUGCCAUCAGGUUAAGCUGGGCACUCUGGAGACACUGCCACCGUAAGGUGUGAGGAAGGUGGGGAUGACGUCAAAUCAGCACGGCCCUUACGUCCGGGGCUACACACGUGUUACAAUGGCCGGUACAGAGGGACGGUGUAAUGCAAAUUGCAUCUAAUCUUGAAAGCCGGUCCCAGUUCGGACUGGGGUCUGCAACCCGACCCCACGAAGCUGGAUUCGCUAGUAAUCGCGCAUCAGCCAUGGCGCGGUGAAUACGUUCCCGGGCCUUGUACACACCGCCCGUCAAGCCAUGAAAGCCGGGGGUGCCUGAAGUCCGUGACCGCAAGGAUCGGCCUAGGGCAAAACUGGUGAUUGGGGCUAAGUCGUAACAAGGUAGCCGUACCGGAAGGUGCGGCUGGAACACCUCCUUUCUGGAG